Astatotilapia calliptera (eastern happy) is the source of this 1836-nucleotide long non-coding RNA. The record is from Ensembl. Lineage: Eukaryota; Metazoa; Chordata; Actinopteri; Cichliformes; Cichlidae.
UUGCUUCGUGUGCUUACCGCUUGAGUUUAAAUUUCAAACAGCUAGCAACAGGUUUGUAAAAAGCAGCUUCUUUACCUUAGGUCUUAAACCCACAACACUCUGUAUUGCUAGCUCACCAGGGUGUAUUUUGAUAAGUUCAGUUCACAAUUAUAUUGUGAAUUAAGACAAACUCAUCUGCCACUGUGGCAGCCUGCUGUAAAGUGGAAUCUCUGUUCACUUGGAUAAAGCAAUAAACUGAGGCAUAGUCUUCAAAUUCCUCCACAAGCAUUAGCUCACACAGUGCAGCCAACUCAUUAACCAUACAUGCAGAGCACCAACUAUCAAAAGAGCCAUUUCUUCUCCCUAGGAAAGUAAAGGUAGGAUUGACCUAUAGGCUUCAGGUACAAGUUUGCUUUUCAUUAACCAAGCAGGCCACCAUACAGACUAGAACAAUCCUCCUGGGCCUAUCUGUCAACUUACAAAGCAACAUUAUGCCCCACAAAUCUUGACGCCAGUGCAGUUGCCAUGUAUUCAAAUGCAGUGAAACACUGUCAACAUUCGACCAAAAAACAAAAACAAAAAAAAACCACACACAAAAAAAAAAAAACCCAUAACAAACAAAAACUGGAAUAAGGUGAAUGUUAUUGUGCACCAAACAGGCCCACAGUUCAUCAGCUCCAGCUGAUGCAACUUGAUACCCGUUUCAUCCUUCAUUUUCUACAGUUCCACGUCCUUCCUCAACUGGAACCCCCUCUCGUUCCUCCAACUGACGGACUCCAUUUUACAAAGGACUAGCAAAUAUACAAACUGAGGCAAACUUAAGUAGAGCUAGCUGACAACAGAACAACAACUUACCUGUUGUGGCAGACACAUUAAAGAGCCCAGUUCCUAACCACAACAAACUUUACCCACCCAUCUUCUUGAGUAUACUGGGUGCAAAGUGACCUGAAAGGCUAAAGUUUCAGUGACUAGAGAUCUGAAUUGCAUAGCUCCUAACCGGGAACUUAUUCCCACCGAGGAUUACUCCAAAAAUACACCAAAAAAAUUACCCAGAAGAAGAUCAGCUGCACACUUACUUAACCAGAAAGUUGCAUUUUCCAAAGAUAGCACCAUGUCAUGUCAGUCAUCUACAAGCAAAAUAAUUAAAAGCCCAAUACUACCAAUUCCAAACUCCCUCUUUCCAGAGAUCCUGAAGGAGUCCCAGCUUAUGUUAUUAUCCUUAGUUUGGAAGUCUAGGAGGCACAGAUUGUAACAAAGUAAAGUAAAUCCAGCAACCCACAACUUAGAACUACUGUACAAAACCCAUCUCAGCAGAAAAGUGAUUCAUUUUCAGUUUAUUUAUUCCCCUGCUAAAUUGCAGUUUAUUUUAAGUUAAGCAUCUCACACAUGAUUUAACAAAAACAAAACUAGACUUAAGGGGCUAAGGCCCAAACAACAACAAAAAUACCCUCUGACUGAAAAUAAAACAAGAAUACAAUGCUGAGUUUAAAGAAAAUGUCAGAACUCCUACCAAACUUCCCAUCUAAAACAAGACAGCUUAACACAGUUCAUCAAAAAGAAAAAAAAACAACUAACCAUAACAUUAACCAGACUCUGGGUACACAGGAGUAAGUUUCACACAAAAAUCACAGCAGCUGAAACAUCACAUCACAGAUAUCAAGGGAGAAAAACAUGUGGCUCUGGAUGAGUGUGGCUUUAUGCAGUCCACUGAUGACGAGGAAGUGACUUCAGCUGUGCAUUAAGUUGUGACAGCAAGGAGGCAAAAAAAAACAUGGAAGAAAAAAAAGUAGAGCCCCUAGAGGACAUGUGGACAAAAGCAUAAAGGUUUUAUUUGAUUUUAGCCAUACUGCCAUAUAG